This 203-nucleotide long non-coding RNA is filed under the name Elaeis guineensis (African oil palm). Its description in RNAcentral is "long non-coding RNA (EGUI_LNC081544)". The record is from RNAcentral. Lineage: Eukaryota; Viridiplantae; Streptophyta; Magnoliopsida; Arecales; Arecaceae.
CAGGGGCAUUCAGCAUCAUAGUGAAAAUACUUUCCCUUUGCUUCGACCUUUUUAGAGCAUCCUUCUUUGGUUUACUCUCUUUCUUCUGCUUCUUAGCGGAUUUAGUCUUCUUCUUUUCAGUAGACUUUCUUUUGGAAGAAGUCCACUCUACAGCGAGAACAGUGCCCCUUGAACUCUUUAAGGUUCCUUCUGUAGCGACCAAC